UGAGAUGUGGCUCAGUGGUAUAGCAUUUGUCUGGCAUGCAUGAAGCCCUAAGUUUGAUCCCUAGCACUGCAA
Molecule: transfer RNA, 72 nt
Filed under: Ictidomys tridecemlineatus (thirteen-lined ground squirrel)
Lineage: Eukaryota; Metazoa; Chordata; Mammalia; Rodentia; Sciuridae
Also listed under: 1 other name
Description: Spermophilus tridecemlineatus (thirteen-lined ground squirrel) tRNA
Rfam family: tRNA
About the family: Transfer RNA (tRNA) molecules are approximately 80 nucleotides in length. Their secondary structure includes four short double-helical elements and three loops (D, anti-codon, and T loops).
Source: Rfam by way of RNAcentral